Molecule: long non-coding RNA, 755 nt
Organism: Magnolia sinica
Lineage: Eukaryota; Viridiplantae; Streptophyta; Magnoliopsida; Magnoliales; Magnoliaceae
Exons: 3
Source: RefSeq, a predicted model, not a curated record
UUUUCGGCAUUUGUCUAACCACCACAAUGACUUUCACCGGUGGCAUAGAACAAACAUCUGCAUCCGGCAUUGAUUUCUACGAUGACUCAGAAAUUUUGGGACCUUCAUCAUUGUACACCAACUCUCAACAUCAAUGGGCAGUAAGCAACACAGGCUUUUACAUCUCUAACCCCAAUGGCCCUCAAUACAUAGCAACGAUAGAUUCUCAAAUCCUGGGGACUUUAGAGUUAGAGCUAUAUAAAACAGCAAGGAUUUCACCAAACUCAUUAAGGUAUUAUGGCCUUGGUUUGAAGAAUGGGAAAUACAUCGUCGAACUCCACUUUGUAGAGAUAGUCAUGGAUGAUUCACAGUCUUGGAAAGGUCUUGGGAGGCGCAUAUUCGAUGUCUACAUCCAGGGGGAGAAAGUACUGCAAGAUUUUAACAUCCAAGAUGAAGCUAAGGGCUCCAAAAGAGUUGUCAUAAAAAUGUGACAGAUAGCCAUGGAGAUCCACUUCUUUUGGGCUGGAAAAGGGACCUGCUGCAUUCCAUUUCAAGCAACUUUCGGUCCGUUGGUGUCAGCCAUACAUGUUUCUCUAGAGUCGUCUAGUGGUGGUUCGCCCUCGAAUAAUUACAGAAGAUACACAGGAGAAGUUAUUGGUAUAGCUGUCGGAUGUGUAGGUGGACUACUGAUACUCGCAUCCAUUUUUUUUCUAUGGUGGAUGAAGGAUGCACCUGGCCAUAUGCGAGUGUGCACAGACUCACCAAGAAAAGGAUAA